GUUUCUUUGUUAUGCAUGCUUUCCUUUGUUCUGUAACAUUUUGGCGGGAAAGUCAAAUCCACUAUAAAACUUAUAAUCAAUUAUACGGAAAAGACUAUCUAUCGAAAUUCACGUAGAAAAAAUCCUGUGUAUAUGCUGGGAUUCGAACUCAAGACCUUUAGCAUAUCAAGCCAAGACACAUACCACUACACCAGGACGACUGGAUGCGAACUACCAGUAAUUUAAC
This 226-nucleotide long non-coding RNA is filed under the name Mytilus galloprovincialis (Mediterranean mussel). The record is from RNAcentral. Lineage: Eukaryota; Metazoa; Mollusca; Bivalvia; Mytilida; Mytilidae.